GAUGAACGCUAGCUACAGGCUUAACACAUGCAAGUCGAGGGGAAACGAUGAGAGAGCUUGCUCUCUUAGUCGUCGACCGGCGCACGGGUGAGUAACGCGUAUCCAACCUGCCUCUGACCAAGGGAUAACCCGUCGAAAGUCGGACUAAUACCUUAUGCAGUCGUCGGAAGUCAUCUGAUGACGACGAAAGAUUUCAUCGGUGAGAGAUGGGGAUGCGUCUGAUUAGCUUGUUGGCGGGGUAACGGCCCACCAAGGCGACGAUCAGUAGGGGUUCUGAGAGGAAGGUACCCCGCAUUGGAACUGAGACACGGUCCAAACUCCUACGGGGGGCAGCAGUGAAGAAUAUUGGUCGAGGGGCGUAAGCCUGAACCAGCCAAGUAGCGUGCAGGAUGACGGCCCUAUGGGUUGUAAACUGCUUUUAUGCGAGGAUAAAGUGAGGGACGUGUCCUUCAUUGCAGGUACCGCAUGAAUAAGGACCGGCUAAUUCCGUG
Molecule: ribosomal RNA, 491 nt
Filed under: uncultured bacterium
Lineage: Bacteria
Description: partial 16S ribosomal RNA
Rfam family: Bacterial small subunit ribosomal RNA
Source: RNAcentral